This is a long non-coding RNA of Pocillopora damicornis (cauliflower coral), 590 nucleotides long. Lineage: Eukaryota; Metazoa; Cnidaria; Anthozoa; Scleractinia; Pocilloporidae. The record is from RefSeq and is a predicted model, not a curated record.
GACAUGUCACUGUACAAUUUGUACUGUAAAUAGGAACUUUCUGGAACAUAAAAGUGUUAAAAGAAGAAAACCCUUUCAAGGAGAGAGUUGGCUAAAUGAAAUCCCUAUGGUAUAAAACUAUAUUUAAUUAGUCACAUUAUUCUGACAGGUAAUUAAAUCCCUGAGAGAUGAUCACUGAUAAGUCCUGCACCAUGCUAAUCAAACACCUGUUGACACAUUUAAUGGCAAUCAAAACCAAUAAACUCAAAUAUAUUCAUUAAUUCUCUAAAAAGGAAAUUCCCAAGCAAAGAAAUGACUGUGACUGUGGGACGUUUGUCUGUAUGUUUGCAGAGCACUUGAGCCGUGGGGAAGUUCCUAAUUUUAAUCAGGAGACGUCUUCGUAGAUGUGACCUCCUGUUGGUCGAUGUUACUUUGACGCGACCGAGCUGAAUACCUUGCGUGACCUACAAUCGGCUGUUCUUUUUGCGUGACCUGCAAUUGGCCGUUCUUUUUGCGUGACCUGCGAUCUGCUGUUCUUUUUGCGUGACCUGCGAUUGGCCGUUCUUUUUACAGGGAGCACCCAACUCUGCAGUACGGAGCAAACCAGUUGG